AUCCAGAACAUUUGUGGAAAAUGGCUUAGGACUGAAACUGUUCCAAUAAUUUCAAUUUUUAGAACAUUUCAAGGACAAAAUAUGGUUAAAAAUUUCUAAAAAUGUUUUAAAAUGUAGUUCUAGAACACAUCUAGAACGCUUUAAGAACCAGUAAGUUCUACAAAAGUUCUUAUGGGGAAUAAGAACACAUAUAGAACACCUUACACUUACAAAUAGCCAAAUAGACUUCAUAGUAGCGACAGCAGCAGCAGCAGUAGUAGUAGUAGUUGUAGUAGCUGUAUUAGUAGUAGUAGUUGUUGUUGUUGUAGUAGGUGUUGUUGUUGUAGUAAUUGAUGUAGUAGCAGUAGUGUUUUUUAUAUCAGUAGAGGUUGUGGUGGUAGUAGUCAUAGUAGAAGUAGUAGCAUUAACAGUUUCUGUAGCAAUAGUAGUAGCAAUAGAAGUAGCAGUAGUAGCAGUUGUUGCUGUAGUAGCAGUUGUUGCUGCUGCUGUUGCUGCUGUUGUUGUUGCUGCUGCUGUUGUUGCUGCUGUUGCUGCUGUUAUUGUUGCUGUUGUUGUUGGUGGUGGUGUUGUUGAUGCUGUAGUAAUUAAAGUAGUAGUUCUGCAGAACUAGGAGUAGUUGUUACUUUCAAAGCAAUUUCUACAAGUUUAAAUUCCUUAACCCUGUCCAAGUGGUAUACACACUGUUUUUUUCUCAAUAUCAAACUCAGCCAGUCCAGGUUGUCAAAUAACAAUCUAUCUGAUAAGCCAAGCAUGUGUUGUACAUCAGAUGUUGGGUAUGUUUGCUGCAAAUCUAUUGGUUAUAAGAUAUAACAGCCUUUUCUAAUUGGCUGAAUUCAAAUACAGAAAGUUUACCUGUUAGAUUGAAACAUGAAACAUGGUGGACAAUGUACUGGUUUAACUUGUUAAAAUAAAGUUAAAGACAUUUAACAAACAGAAGAGUCAUUAGUUUUUCCAUUAAAAACACUUUCUUAAAAUACUUAUGUAUUUAUAUCAUUUGGAAAGUGACAUGAAAUAUUGCUAAAGAGUGAUGCAUACAGUGUUUGAGCAGUCUGUCUAGGAAUAGAACAACAACUGAAGCUGACCAGUUGAUGGAAGAUACUGCAGAGUUUGGCAGGGAAAUAACCCAAGACAGCAAAGCGGCUCUUUUGGCGCAUUUACCAAGAGGACUAACAUGGCCACAAAUUCAUGAGAUCAUGCAGGAGCCGUACAGUAUAACAGCAGUACAAGUUCUAUAAAAGAUCCACGACCUACUGAAGCCCAGCUAAUUAACAAAAAAGUUUUUAAAAACUGUAAUUUUAUCCCACCUGGGUACUUAUAAUUUACUAAGCUGCCUUCACAAGUUUUAGACUUGCAAUUAUAUUUUAAACUGUCACUUGGAAAGUAAUACAUGUACAUGCAUUAUGUUCUGAAUUUCUUUGAACAAUAAAAUUAUAUAAAAGUAUUUUAAUGAAAUUGAGCACCUAAAUUGCAUUAAAGUGAAAGUAGCUGAGAAAAAUAGUAUCCUUGUGCUCAUGGGCAGCUACAUAUAUUGUGACAAACAUGAAGUAGCUAAAAUAACUUAAAUUUUUCAUUUUGUUUCUUGUAUAUCGUUUGUACAGGGUUCGUGAAUUGUUACUGUAUAUUACUUGACUUGCUUGUAUUUUGUUACUUUGAAUACAUGUUGUUAAGGUUGCAUUAUACUUUUUAACUUUUAAAGUAGCGCCUGUUCUGUUAUGUAAGGGCCUGAUUUAUGAUAAUGGACCUAGAGGCUUUGUAAGCAUGUAUUAAACAACACUUGUUUGAUCUGAAUAAUUUGUUAAAUAAAUGUAACACAAUUUGUAAUCUGAUGUUAUAUUUUGAUGAAUUGUGAACAAAAUAAUACAUCGAAGAAACUAA
This is a long non-coding RNA of Dreissena polymorpha, 1875 nucleotides long. RefSeq lists it as uncharacterized. The record is from RefSeq and is a predicted model, not a curated record. Lineage: Eukaryota; Metazoa; Mollusca; Bivalvia; Myida; Dreissenidae. The transcript is spliced from 3 exons.